RNAcentral lists this long non-coding RNA (486 nucleotides) under Ooceraea biroi (clonal raider ant). RNAcentral describes it as "uncharacterized LOC105283995, transcript variant X2". The record is from RNAcentral. Lineage: Eukaryota; Metazoa; Arthropoda; Insecta; Hymenoptera; Formicidae.
AACUUAUGAAAGAAAAUGAUCCGAAAAUUUCUUUUCAUCUUGCAUCACCAGUUCACGCAUGCAUGGCUUUUCAUUGGUCGAAAUUUUGUUUAUUCCUUAUGUUCUAUUCUGUGUUCCUUAUUCCUCUCAUUGUGUCUGGGCCCUUCAUAGAUAUAGAAAAGAGAGAUGGAGCCUGACCUUAGUAUUUAGACAAGGGAGGUGAAGCCAUUGCGGGAGGAGCGACGAGCAUUAGGUAGAAGCCUAGCAAUAAGACAUCUUCGAUCAAAGUCCUCUUCUUUAAAAUGAUCAGAGCAUACGCGUGAUGAACCAUUAAUUGUAGUCUCAUUAAGAUGCGAGAUCUGAAUCCACAUAUUACAUCUUUUCGGAUCACUUGGAAUGCUUUAAAAUGGCUUUUAUUAGUAAUUAUAAUUAUACAAAAAUAAACUUACACAUGUUACACACAUUUAUCAUUGCUUUUAAUACAUAACAAAGAACCUACCUAAGGAA